Molecule: long non-coding RNA, 4684 nt
Filed under: Durio zibethinus
Lineage: Eukaryota; Viridiplantae; Streptophyta; Magnoliopsida; Malvales; Malvaceae
Description: long non-coding RNA (DZIB_LNC001068)
Source: RNAcentral
GAGAAUCUAUCAUUUAGGCAUUGUAGCCAUGAAAAAAAUUUAAUUUACUCAUAAUGAUCCUUGGUUUCAACUAAAAAGUUCAAUAAACAUUGCCCAUAACUUCCAGUCGGGUUGAUUUCUUGUAUUAAAGCUUCCAAUCUUUCAACCAUGUCCCUUGCUUUCCUUAUUGCUUUGCCAAUUUGACUAGUCAGAUGCUCUAUGAAUUGUUGCCUUCCCAAACUCUCUGCCUUCCAUUUCAUACAAGCAUCCAUCUCCAAUCUGCUUCUCUAUUUUGCCAUUCUUUGAUGAUUAUGGAAAUAUGAUCUUUGUGGUUUUGCAAUUGAUGUUCCAUCUCUUGAAUUACUUGAAAUAGUGAUUCUUUCUUUUUUUUUGCAUUUCAUGGUGUUUUCUUUUUUCAUCUUUGAUCUGAGCCUUCAAUGUAACAUUAUCCUUUUGAUAUUCCAUCAAUUUUGCUGAAGUUGUUGAAUACAAACCUUCCAAUUCUUGUUAUUUUCGAGAAAUCUUGAUGGUUUUUUUCUCAUUUUCCCUAGCUUUGUCCUUCUAAUGUUGUAUCUCUUCUUGAAGCUCAAUCAUUUCCCUUUGCUGCUUGACACCAAAUCUAGCACUUUUUCCCUCUUUUAAUUGGAUUUGCAUUUUCUUGUUUUUUUUUUUAUACAAAUCCUUUAGAUAAUUUUGGGCCAUAUCCUGAUCUUCCAUCACCUUUUUUAGUUUGCUUUCUCAUGCUUCUGUUUCAUAUUUCAAUUGUCUAAUCUUUCUUGGAGUCUCAAAUUUUCUUUUCUCAAUUUCUCUUUUUCUAUUUCAAGUUCUUGCUUAACAAGUUCAGCUUCUGACAAUGGUUUUUUUGCCCAUAGGUCUACUUGGUGGAAUGAAAAGUCAUUUGGAGGGAGCGCAAUAUCUCUAGAAUAUUUUGCUUUCCAAAUCAAGUAAUCAGGGGUGACUUUGUCGAUAAUGGGUUCUAGUCUUAGCCUCUAUGUUUUCUUCUAUACCUGAACUGACUGUUCUGUUAUUUUUUAUGAGUUCGUUUCUCUAUAGGCAAAUUCUACUAAAAUGAGUCCAUGUGUGGCAGGGACAAAUUACUUCGCACCAAAUUGACUUAGCACCAUUAGUGGAGAGUAAUUUACCACUCCCCACAAUCCUAAAAGCAAUACCACGGAUCAUCUCCACCCUGAUAUAACAUUGGCACAUAAAGCAUCCAAAGUGCCAUCCAUUUAACUUGAUCACUAGUAAGCCUUCAAAAGAAUGCUACCCACUCUUCUUUGGAUUUAAAUGUUGGCCAUUGCCUUUCGUAAAAUUCUUUGAUUGGGGCUUUAUUUCGAAGAUAAGGCUUGGAAAAAGCAUUUUUCUUGCAUCUAAAAUGGCUUUUGAUCUAGACAAAUAGUAAUUAUGCACUCUCUAUGAAACAUUCUCCAUUCCUACAACAAAAGUUCAAUGAUCUAAUUGUCUCAACUAGGAUGGCUGGAAUGGGAUUAAUUGCUUGACUCUUGAUUUGUUAAAAAAGAUCAACUACUACCAAUUCAAUAUAUCCCAAAGUUUUUGGAAAGAUCACCAUACCAUAAAUUGCUAGAGCAAACAUUGCCAUGCCUUGGUCAUCUUUUAAGUGCCCCAAAAUGAAAUCAUGAAAGAAAUGCCAAAGUAAGAGGGCACAUUUACCUUUGUCUUUAGUCAAAGCAUUUAUGGCCUCUACAUUCAUCUCCAUUAAUUUAACUAUUUUUUUAGAUAAGUUUGAAUUCUCAAGUGCAUAGUAUACUAAAAAAGAAAAAAAGAGAACAAAAAGAAAAACAAAAAAUGAAUGUGACUUUAGGGUGAAAACCUUAAAAAAGGUAAUUUAGAGCAAAUCUUGAAGGUCACUCCUAAUACUAAAUGAGGUGGAUAGUAAACAAAGAUAAGCCAUACCUUAUGAAAAAUCUAAGAUAUCAAAAGUUUCGAAAGUUUGAAAAGGGUUGAUUUCGAAAAUCUCAACGUUUUUUCAUUCCCAAAUAACCUUUAAAAAAUUCAAAGCCUUUACAGCUAACUUUGACAUAUAUCAAAAUGUGACAUUUGAAGGUUUAAGAAAGUGUUCAACAACUUUGCUUUUUAAGGGAUUCAUGUUUUUUAAAAAAUUUAUAUUUCAUCUAUGAGCCUACAUAGAAAAAGUAUAUGCCUCUUUUAUCACCUUUAAAUGGAGAAACCCCUGAGUGUGCUAAACCAUACAAUCCAUUUAGAAAAAAAAAAUUUCACCUUUUUCAUUUCUAAUAAGGAUCACAAAUUCUCGAGAAAAGAUUUAAACUGAAUUUAGUUGGCGCCUAGGUUUUAAGCAUCAAUGAAGAUUUAAGCCCAGUUUAGCUAUCACCCAAGUUUUAAGAUCAAAUUAUUUGGCACCCAAAUUUAAGCCUAGUUUAGUUGACACAUAGGUUUUAAACCUAGAUUAGCUGGCAUAAUGGUUUAAGGUUUAAGUUUUGGUUUAGGGUUUAGGAGUUCGCUUAUCGUUUAAGGUUUAGGGUUUAAUUUUGGGUUUAAAGUUUGGUUUAAGAUUUAAGGUUUAGUUUACAAAUUUAGUUUGGUUUAGGGUUUAAGGUUUAAGGUUUUGACUUGCAUGGUGGUUUAGGGUUUAGGGUUUUCAUGGUGGUUUAGGAUUUGGGGUUUAGCAUUUGCAUGGUGGUUUAGGGUUUGCAUGAUGGUUUAAGGUUUAGGGUUUUCAUAGUGAUUUGGGAUUUAGGUUCUUUGCUUGGUUUUAAGGCGUAGAGUUUAGGGUUUUAAAGUUCUCUCCUUUCAUUUCACUACUUGCUGUCUCAUUUCCCCUUUUUUCUAGCCCUAAAUGAUGAAUAUAAAACUCGUGCAAAUGCUUUUUAGCCUUUGAUCAUUUUUCCAUUUAUGGGCUCCUAUCUUCCCUGUAAGUUUAUUUUGCAAUCAACCUCCUUUCACCAUUGAAUCUAGCCUCUUGAAAGAUUAGUGGUCCACAAUGAAUAUAGAACACAAAUUAGCUUAUAGUGUAGCUAUAACAAUAUGAAAAGACCAUUUUACCUCUAGUAAAAGUUUGACCUUUUUGAGUGAUUUUCUUGGAAACCUAUGAUCCUUUCUUUGUUUUUGUGAUUUUAAUGCAUCAAAAAUCAUAAAAUAAUAUGAAAUCAUGAUCUAAAAGUUUUCAUUAAAAGCCAACCUUAAAAGGUCAAAUUACGAUAAUACUCCUAAAUGACAUUUUGGUAAUUUCACGCCUUCUGAGAUGUAAUCAAGAUUUUUAACGUAUAAAAAAAAUCAUAAAUUGAUAUUUAAACAUGAUCUGAAAGUUUUCACAAAAAAUUAACUUUAAAAAAAUCAAAUUACAAAAAUACCUUUAAAAGGUAUUUUCAUAAUUUUACCCUUCUUGAAGUGUAAUCAAGGUUUUUAGUGUAUUAAAAUCAUAGAUUUCAACCCCAAGGCUUAUUAUCCCAUUUGGUUGUGAAUUUGACAAAGUAACCCAAGUUUGACCCAAUUUGACUAAUUUUGGUCAAAUUUGAUUUUGUUUGACUAUGAGACAUUUGGAUCAGAUUGACUUAAAAUUCAAUUUUGAAAACUUGUCCACAUUAAACAAAGGUUGGAUUUGAAUUGCAUUGAACUUUAAAGGCCUCACAACUAGCUAGAAUUUACUUAGACAAAAUUAGGUAUUUACAGUUUGUAAGGUUGGCACAUGGAUUGCUUCAUAAUCUCAAAAGAUCUAACACUAUAAGCUUCAAAACAGUGUUGUUUCAUUCAUUACAUAAAUUCCUCUUUUCUACUUUUUUAUUUUUAGCUUUCAAUUUUGCUUUCCAUUUACCUUCUCUCUCUAAACUUUUUUAAAUUUUUAGAACUCAUCAAUUCCUAGAUUCUUGCCAAUAAUCGCUAUAGCCAUUCCUCAUCAUCAAUCAUCACUCGUCAGUAUCAGAGUAACUCCAAACUUCACCCAAAAUCCUAUUUUAAUCUCUUUUAUCUUAUUCAAACCUUAAAUUUUCCUAAAACUUUUCAUAAAACCCUAGGGAUUGACACUUAAAUGGUGAUUGCACCUCAUAAAAUACCCUUUUCAGUCACCAUAAAACCCAAGCCAAGCCUAGAAAUUUCUUUUUCUAUCCAUUGCUCACCAUUUCACGAUCCAAACACCUAAAAAACUAAGAAAUGCUUUAAGAACAAAUCCUUUUCUUAGCCACCACUACCAUUUAUUUCCUCUUCUAUUUCCAUUGUCUAUACAAUGCUUAAAAUAACUUUGAACCUUUCCUCUCAACUUCCUCUUGAUUCCAAUCUUAAUCACUAAAAAAAAUCUCAAGAAAACACUUUACUCAAAACCUUGAUAGCCUUUUUCUUAUUUUUUGUUCUUUCCCUAUUUUGCUAUCAAAUCUUUUUGAGUUUUUAUGCUAGUGAUUUUUUUUUUUGGUUGUUCAUCUUUAUUUUCGUGGUGCAAAGAGUACGAAGGCUAUAAGUGAUCUUGCCAGAUGAGAGUAAUUCAAAAGGGAACUUGGGCAUAGGUAAUUUAGUUUAAUGUUGUAGCAAUUGGUAGUUGUAUCAAAAUGUUGAUCUUUUAGAUUGUGUUGAUUUGGAUUUGUUGUUUAUCUCUAUUAUUUAUGAGUUUAUAAAACUUAAAAAAUGCUAUAAGACUGAAUCCAUUGUUUAGCCACUUGAUUGGUACUUUUUAAACCUGUUAGUGAAUAGAUCAUUAUCAAGUAAUAAAAUGAUGAACAACAAGUAUUGUCCAACAAGG